CGUGCAGGUGGUUUGGUAAGUUGGGUAUGAAAUCUCCUGGCUUAACUAGGAGAGGUUGCUCAAAACUACCAGACUAGAGGACGGUAGAGGAAGGUGGAAUUCCCGGUGUAGUAGUGAAAUGCGUAGAUAUCGGGAGGAACACCAGUGGCGAAGGCGGCCUUCUGGGCCGUUCCUGACACUAAGACGCGAAAGCAUGGGUAGACAAACG
RNAcentral lists this ribosomal RNA (208 nucleotides) under uncultured bacterium. RNAcentral's name for it is "partial 16S ribosomal RNA". It matches the Rfam family "Bacterial small subunit ribosomal RNA", at positions 568 to 775 of the family's 1533-position model. The record is from RNAcentral.